AAGGGACAGACCUGGGUCGGUGUGGUCCCCUCACCCAGGUGUCCAGGAGACCCCACGGGACACUUUCGGCUGGGAGCCGGGGACUGCAGAAGAAUGACAAGUGGGCCCCCAGAGGAGAGAGGCUGCGGUGUAGGAGGGGAGCCAAGGCUGGAGUGGGCAGCAGGGAGCCUUCGAGAGGCCGUGCCUGUGUCCCCAGAGGGGGGAGGUGGCCCCAGCCACACUCAGGCCUCUCCAGGAACCAGCGUUCACACUCCACCAGCUGCCGGAGGACCGGCUGCAGCCCCGUGGGGCAAAAGGCUGACCUCCGCCCCGCAGGCUUCUCGCCUAAACCUUGCGGGACGGGGAGACCUGGCGCCGAGCUCAUUCUGGCCAGAACGCCUCUCCCUAUGGGUUCCAGUGGCAGUAUUUUGCAACAUACAAUGACUGUAAGCCUGUCUCUUGCCUCUGCACACGCAGAAGUGCACAGAGACUCUGCCAGGGGUUCCGCCAGCAGAGAGGAACGAUUUCCUUGCCGAGUAUGUUUUCGAGGGACAGCGGAGAGCACACGCUGAACUCCA
Molecule: non-coding RNA, 557 nt
Organism: Vicugna pacos (alpaca)
Lineage: Eukaryota; Metazoa; Chordata; Mammalia; Artiodactyla; Camelidae
Source: RefSeq, a predicted model, not a curated record